UGGCUUCGUGGUCGAGUGGUAAGACUACUUGCCUCUCAUCCUAGAGUCCCGGGUUCGAUCCCCGGUCGACGAGCUAG
Rhamnusium bicolor is the source of this 77-nucleotide non-coding RNA. NCBI's taxonomy places the organism in Eukaryota, Metazoa, Arthropoda, Insecta, Coleoptera, Cerambycidae. The record is from the annotation of a GenBank genome assembly.